This is a long non-coding RNA of Cyprinus carpio (common carp), 163 nucleotides long. RefSeq lists it as uncharacterized. The transcript is spliced from 2 exons. The record is from RefSeq and is a predicted model, not a curated record. Lineage: Eukaryota; Metazoa; Chordata; Actinopteri; Cypriniformes; Cyprinidae.
UGCUAUUCUCUAUCAAGGCGUCUGCAGGAACGUGAGAGAAUUGGUGAACUGGGAUGUCCUGAGGUCUGGGGAUAUUCUCCAAGAGUCAGAGAACCUGACUCAGACGAGCACACUCCUGUAGAAGAGGACGUGAAGAACAGCAGCUCUGAUUCAAGUUCACAGG